UUUGCAUUUCCAAGACCAGAUCUGCCCCAGAUCCACAGAAGUGCCUGGCUUCCUGUGUUCACCUUCAUUUCAGAUCUGUCAGGAUUCUGGGCUCACAUUCUAGCACCUGCUGGAGCAGUCAGCUGCGAGAGCUGCCUGUGUCCUUGAAAAGCUCUCAGCAUCUCCAUUAAAGUGGAGAGAAAGGUGGUAGUGAAUGAUGAAGCCAUUAAUCCUGAGGUCAAAGGGCAAUGCAUCUUGCGCUGGACUCGUCAUCCAUCAUUCCUGAGCCAGGAUGAAACUGUGUCAUUGCAAAGGAUCGCAUGGAAGCCACAGGGAACGUAUGUGGAGCCCAUGAAUUGUUGAUCUUUUCAACAGUGUGCCCAA
Molecule: long non-coding RNA, 363 nt
Filed under: Chinchilla lanigera (long-tailed chinchilla)
Lineage: Eukaryota; Metazoa; Chordata; Mammalia; Rodentia; Chinchillidae
Description: lncRNA (ENSCLAG00000026600.1)
Source: RNAcentral